Molecule: ribosomal RNA, 492 nt
Filed under: uncultured bacterium
Lineage: Bacteria
Description: partial 16S ribosomal RNA
Rfam family: Bacterial small subunit ribosomal RNA
Source: RNAcentral
AGUGAACGCUGGCGGUAGGCCUAACACAUGCAAGUCGAACGGCAGCACAGUAAGAGCUUGCUCUUACGGGUGGCGAGUGGCGGACGGGUGAGGAAUACAUCGGAAUCUACUUUUUCGUGGGGGAUAACGUAGGGAAACUUACGCUAAUACCGCAUACGACCUACGGGUGAAAGCAGGGGAUCUUCGGACCUUGCGCGAUUGAAUGAGCCGAUGUCGGAUUAGCUAGUUGGCGGGGUAAAGGCCCACCAAGGCGACGAUCCGUAGCUGGUCUGAGAGGAUGAUCCGCCACCCUGGAACUGGAACACGGUCCAGACUCCUGGGGGAGGCAGCGGUGGGGAAUAUUGGACAAUGGGCGCAAGCCUUCUCCACCCAUCCCGGGGGGGUGAAGAAGGCCUUCGGGUUGUAAAGCCCUUUUUUUGGGAAAAAAAAGGAGCAGGUUAAUCCCCCGCUUUUUUGGCGGUACCCAAAAAAAAACCCCCGGCUAACUUCGUC